This 406-nucleotide ribosomal RNA is filed under the name uncultured bacterium. RNAcentral's name for it is "partial 16S ribosomal RNA". It matches the Rfam family "Bacterial small subunit ribosomal RNA", at positions 30 to 526 of the family's 1533-position model. The record is from RNAcentral.
AUUGAACGCUGGCGGCAGGCCUAACACAUGCACGUCGAACGAGUGGCGGACGGGUGAGUAAUGUCUGGGAAAAUGCCUGAUGGAGGGGGAUAACUACUGGAAACGGUAGCUAAUACCGCAUACCAUCAGAUGUGCCCAGAUGGGAUUAGCUUGUUGGUGGGGGAACGACGCACCAAGGCGACGAUCCCUAGCUGGUCUGAGAGGAUGACCAGCCACACGGGAACUGACACACGGUCCCGACUCCUACGGGAGGCAGGAGUGGGGAAGAUUGCACAAUGGGCGCAAGCCUGAUGCAGCCAUGCCGCGUGUAUGAAGAAGGCCUGCGUGUGGUAAAGUACUUUCAGCGGGGAGGCGUUACCCGCAGAAGAAGCACCGGCUAACUCCGUGCCAGCAGCCGCGGUAAUUC